This 868-nucleotide long non-coding RNA is filed under the name Marmota monax (woodchuck). The record is from RNAcentral. Lineage: Eukaryota; Metazoa; Chordata; Mammalia; Rodentia; Sciuridae.
GUACUAGAGAUUGGCAUCAGGGGCACUUUACCACUGAGCUAUACCCCCAGUCAUUUUUUUUUUUAAUUUCUGUAUGAGGGUUUGAACCCAGGGGUGCUUAACUACAUCCCCAGCCCUGUUUGUUUAUUUAUUUAUUUUUGGUGCCAAAACCUGGGAACAAAUUAUUUUUUAUUUUGAGACAGUUGCUUAGGGCCUCUCUGAGUGGCUGAGGCUGGCCUUGAACUUGCAAUGCUCCUGCCUCAGCCUCCUAAGCCACUGCAAUUAUAGGCAUCCAACAUUUUUUAUUUUUUAAUUUUAAGACAGGAUCUCGCUAAAUUGCUAAGACUGGCCUCACUUGCAAUCCUCCUACUUCAUCCUCCACAGUUGCUGGGAUUACAGGGGUGUGCCAUCACACCCAGCAAGAAGGGGAUCUCUUGGGAGGACUUAUGGUUUAGCCCCACCAUCUAGGGAAGGUCUAUGUGGAAAAAAAUCUCUAUGAACUUGGGAGGCCUGGUGGACCUCUGCUUUCUGAACAUUAAGCCAAGACCUGCCACCUGGCACAGGAUGUCUGUGCCACCAAGGAGAAUGCUGGUUCAGAUGGCAAGGGGCUGGGUGAGCUGAAACAAGACAGGCACUUCUGGGGACAGCAUAGCCCUAAAUCCAGGAAGAGCAAGUAUCUGAAUGACAGGUGGUCUUGGUCCUUGUCAGGGACUAGAAGGAAAUUCUCCUUCAAAGAUUAGCCUGACAGCCCCCUGGGAGACAUCCUGCCUGGGAGGCAUCCUGCAGCUACCUAUCAGACAUCUUGCACCUGGCAGUUUUACCACCCACAUCCAGCAGUUGUUGAUUAGAGAGCUUCCCCAUCCCCAGCAUAUAAAUACCCCUGUGUGAA